GACGAACGCUGGCGGCGUGCUUAACACAUGCAAGUCGAACGGAAAGGCCCUGCUUUUGUGGGGUGCUCGAGUGGCGAACGGGUGAGUAACACGUGAGUAACCUGCCCUUGACUUUGGGAUAACUUCAGGAAACUGGGGCUAAUACCGGAUAGGAGCUCCUGCUGCAUGGUGGGGGUGGGAACGUUUCGGCGGUUGGGGAUGGACUCGCGGCUUAUCAGCUUGUUGGUGGGGGAGUGGCUUACCAAGGCUUUGACGGGUAGCCGGCCUGAGAGGGUGACCGGCCACAUUGGGACUGAGAUACGGCCCAGACUCCUACGGGAGGCAGCAGUGGGGAAUAUUGCACAAUGGGCGGAAGCCUGAUGCAGCAACGCCGCGUGCGGGAUGACGGCCUUCGGGUUGUAAACCGCUUUCGCCUGUGACGAAGCGUGAGUGACGGUAAUGGGUAAAGAAGCACCGGCUAACUACGUG
Molecule: ribosomal RNA, 468 nt
Filed under: uncultured bacterium
Lineage: Bacteria
Description: partial 16S ribosomal RNA
Rfam family: Bacterial small subunit ribosomal RNA
Source: RNAcentral